This is a long non-coding RNA of Episyrphus balteatus (marmalade hoverfly), 1576 nucleotides long. RefSeq lists it as uncharacterized. The record is from RefSeq and is a predicted model, not a curated record. The transcript has 3 exons. Lineage: Eukaryota; Metazoa; Arthropoda; Insecta; Diptera; Syrphidae.
UCUCCGCAGCCAUGACCAGAAUAGAAAACAAAAACAAGAGUAAUUUUGAGGUUAAGUCGCGCGCGAACAAUUUAUUCGUUGUAGUGUGGAUGGUAUGUGGAACGCGAAUAGAGUUUGACAAUUCGUAGCAACCAAACUGCAAUUCGUAACUACCAAAUUGUUUUUACAAAUUUUUCUUAUUUUAGCAAACAAAAUGCAAAUUUUAGUAUUCUAACAUUAGUAUCAAUUGGUUUCUUAUAAUUUGAAUAAUUUUUUGUUUGAAAUUGAGUCGUAGAAAUGUGUUAAAUCUCGUUUGUUCGUCCAUUCGUUCAUUCGUUGGUCGCUCUCAUGUGCAAAGUCCUUAAAGGGCUUUGACAUUGGUUGUCAACAAUAGAUCAGUUCGAUUUUCUGUUUCUGAGUGCACACCGGGCAAUUUCAGAACUAAGAACUGAGUUCUUUUCUUCUCCGAUUUUAUGAAUUGUGAACUUUAAUUGUAUAUUUGUAAAGAAAAUAGCAAGUACCUACAGGAAAUCUAGUCGUGCAUUUUAUUUUAUUAAAAAAAAAGAACAACAAUAAUAGUUAAAAAUUUCUUGCAUAAGAACUUCCUUAGUGCACAUUCGGCGAUAAAAUAUCAAACACACCUUGGAAUUUGAAGUGAGCUGUCAAAAAGCAAUCCGUCAUACGACGUAAGGGCCCAACCCAUAGAAUCCGUUGCGUCCGUUCCGUCGAAGUUUUCAACUGACAGCUCGAUAAAAUACACACGUUCUUAUGGGAAGCGACCCAUAAGCGACGGAUCGGACGGAGACGGACGGAUUCGACGGAAGAAGUUGCCCAACUUUCUACAUUUUCAUCCGUCGUAUGCUUUGACAUUGGUUGUCAACAAUAGAUCUGUUCAAUUUUCUGUUUUAGAGUGCACACCGGGGAAUUUCAGAACUAAGAACUGUGUUCUCUUCUUCUCCGCUUUAUGAAUUGUGAACUUUAAUUGUUUAUUUGUGAAGAAAAUGUAAUAAAAGUAACAUUUAAUGAUAUAUCUAAUAAAUUAUAUCAAUUAAAUACUAAAAUUCUGUUGUAGAGUUCAAUUUUAUCAUGCCAAAGUCAUAUCUACAAAUGAUAAUCUGUUAUUAAAAAUUGUUUUUAACUGAAGAGCAAGUACCUACAUGAAAUCUAGUCACGCAUUUUAUUUCAUUAAAAAAAAGAACAACAAUAAUAGUUAAAAAUUUCUUGCAUCAGAACUUCCUAGUGCACAUUCAGCGAUAAAAUAUCGAACACACCUCGGAAUUUGAAGUGAGCUGUCAAAAAGCAAUCCGUCGUACGACGUAUUCUAUGGGUCACCCCUUUCUGUCCCAAACUUCAACUUCAACGGAUGGAUUGACGGAACGGACGCAACGGAUUCUAUGGGUUGGGGCCUAUAGCCGGACGGAAAGAUUGUUAAUAAAUGUAGAUGCUGACCAAGAAACAAAACAGAAAGUCGUGGCGGCAAGAAGAAGAGGAACUCUUGGUGGAGAUGUGGGUCGACAAAAUUAGCCAGCUCCGUGGGCAGAAAAAUUUCACAACAACAUUGCUUUGUAGGAUUAACAAAUGUGAUCUGAAAACAAUA